UCACUCUAAUGUACUCAUGUCGUAUUGUAAUUUGUAGUCAAAACUCUGAAAAAUUAAGGUAAAUACGAUGAGUUGCUCUUUUAAACUUAAACUCUGAAAACUGAAAUAAAGAUGACUGGAAACCUAAUUUUUCCUAAUAAUUAUUAAAACUUAUAGAAGUACAAAGUAGCUUGAUAACACAGCUAUACAUAGCACACCCAGUUACUGGUUGCCAAAAGCUCAUAGAAGAAGUAGAUGAUGAACAUAAACUUUGCAUUUUGUAUGAAAAGCGAAUAGGCCAAGAGGUGGAUGCUGAUGCCUUAGGUGAUGAAUGGAGGGGCUUUGUUGUGAGAAGAAGUGGAGGCAAUGACAAACAAGGGUUCCCAAUGAAACAAGGUGUGUUAACAGUUGAGCAGAUGAACAAUAUAUUCCUGGUUUGACUGACACGACCAUCCCUCGUUGUCUUGGUCCUAAGAGAGAAAACUCUUCAAUCUUGCAAAAGAAGAUGAUGUUUGUCAGUAUGUGAUAAGGAAACGUCUGCUCCAGGAAGAGGGUUUGUCACACUUACUCAUCAUUUUCGUGAGAAGAUAUAAAUAAUGGCUAAAAGCAGCUGAAAAUGGAAGAAACUCUGUCAUAAAACACCUAAAAAUUCAAUGACUUGUAACUCCCCAGGUGCUCCAACAUAAGAGACAUCGAUUCACACUUAAGCUUAAACGUUCUCAUAAACUGAAGCUGCUGAUUAUGCUCGUCUCUUGACCCAGCGAGCUAAAGAGAAGAGACAGAUGGAACAGAGACGUCUUCACUGUGGUUCCCAACAAAAGUCCUCCUCAUCAACAGGGAAAGGAAAUACUAGCAAGUGAAAUGAAAAAUGCAAUUGUUUCACUACACCUACCAGUAGAAGACUAUACUAUACAGGAAUCUUUCCCACAAAAGUGUGCAUAUGACAACAUAGGUGAAUGGCCCGGAACAAUAGGCAACUACAGUGAAAGGAAUUUAGCCAAUUUCUUAAUCAACAUUCUGUAAAAACUUUCAUAUGCUUGUAUAUGCUAAAAUUGCAAAACAUUUUAUGUAAAUUUGAAGUUAAAUAAAGGGGAUAGACAAAAUCUAAUAUGUUUGCGUGCUACAAAGUGUAUUUCAUUGUUUGAAGAGAAAUUAGUGUACAUUUUAUGUACGUAAUUUGAGAGUUUAAAUAUAAUAGAAAGAACAGUUUAGGUUUAGAGUACAUGAUAAUAUGUUAGAUUAAUAGAAAUUAUGUACAGAUAAACGUUACAUUUUAUUUACGUAUUUGAUUUUAACUUUUACACCAACACUAAUAAUUCACAUCAUAAUGUGUAUAUAUACUUAAAUAGAGACAAGUUAUACACAUUGACCAAAAUAUGUUAGAGUAACAAAUGCAGUAUGUUGUUAAACAUGAUAAAGUGUUUAAUUUGGGUAAUAUGAAUACAUUUUAUUAGCUUAGAAUAAAUUCAAAUGAUAUUUGAGUAUGUACCUAAAAUCUUUGUUGUGAUAAAUUAUUACUUAAGUUACACAGAUGAUUGAGAGUGUUAGUGUGGCCUGGAUAGACUAAGUUAAUUAAAUAUCAAGUUUCGUUGCAUUGUUCUCGUAUAAAUCGUGAAGUAUUUGUUAAGUUAAAUAGUUUAGGUAUAAAAGUUUGUAGGUUGUGUUUAUUGAAAACAAUAGCAGUAAGAAGAAAAUAUAAUAAUAGGAUGAAAGUCUGAAACUGUUAAAGAAAACAUGAAUGGUGAUUUGUGUAGCAUGAAUGUAUAUAGAGGUUUUC
Long non-coding RNA from Limulus polyphemus (Atlantic horseshoe crab), 1756 nucleotides. RefSeq lists it as uncharacterized. NCBI's taxonomy places the organism in Eukaryota, Metazoa, Arthropoda, Merostomata, Xiphosura, Limulidae. The transcript is spliced from 6 exons. The record is from RefSeq and is a predicted model, not a curated record.